AUGGCGGUGAAGCGGCAGGCAGCUUGGUGCUUCCUGGCCGUUGUUCUAGUGGUGACUCUCUCAGUGGCGAUGGCGCAGCCGCCGCAGCCAAGGGUGGGCGGGCCGGGGAGAGGCAAACUGCCGCCGGGCAACGGCAGGUUCGAGGCGGUGACAUUCAACAAGUUCCACAAGCGAAAGUACGAGGUGGCGUGCACCGACAACCGCGGCCCUCCUUGCCUCGUCUCCUGCCCAAAAAACUGCCCCAACAAGUGCCUCGCCUAUUGCAGCUACUGCAUGACCUUCUGCAUGUGUGAUCUGUUCCCGGGUCAGUCGUGCGGGGACCCGCGGUUCACAGGGGGCGACGGCAACACCUUCUAUUUCCACGGCAAGAAGGACCAGGACUUCUGUAUCGUCUCUGACAAGGACCUCCACAUCAACGCACACUUCAUCGGCAACCACAACCCGGAUAUGAAGCGUGACUUCACAUGGGUGCAGGCCCUCGGCAUCACCUUCGGCGAUGGCCACCGCCUCUAUGUCGGUGCCCGAAAGGCUGUUCAGUGGGACGAGGAGGAGGACCACGUCCAGAUCGCCCUUGACGGCGAGCCCGUGGAGGUCGAGGCCGCUAAGAAUGCACGGUGGUUAUCCAAGGCCAUGCCCGGACUCUCCAUCACGCGUACCGACACGGUGAACACCAUCGUCGUGGAGCUAGAUGGUGUGUUCAGCAUCUCGGCCAACGCCGUGCCCAUCACCGAUGAGGAUUCCCGGGUCCAUAGCUAUGGCAAGACUGAGGAGGACAGCCUCGUGCACCUCGACCUCGGGUUCAAGUUCUACGACCUCACCAAUGACGUGGAUGGUGUGCUCGGCCAGACCUACCGCUCCGACUACAUCAGCAAGGUCAACGUCACGGCCAAGAUGCCUAUCAUGGGCGGCGCACCCAAGUACCUCUCAGCCGGCCUCUUCUCCACAGACUGUGCUGUCUCCCAGUACCACCGCAGCGGCGCCAGCUCAGUCGAGACAUUUGCGUUAUAA
Molecule: ribosomal RNA, 1008 nt
Filed under: Triticum aestivum (bread wheat)
Lineage: Eukaryota; Viridiplantae; Streptophyta; Magnoliopsida; Poales; Poaceae
Description: partial small subunit ribosomal RNA
Source: RNAcentral